RNAcentral lists this ribosomal RNA (497 nucleotides) under uncultured bacterium. Its description in RNAcentral is "partial 16S ribosomal RNA". It matches the Rfam family "Bacterial small subunit ribosomal RNA", at positions 28 to 507 of the family's 1533-position model. The record is from RNAcentral.
GAUGAACGCUGGCGGCGUGCCUAAUACAUGCAAGUCGAGCGAACGGACGAGAAGCUUGCUUCUCUGAUGUUAGCGGCGGACGGGUGAGUAACACGUGGAUAACCUACCUAUAAGACUGGGAUAACUUCGGGAAACCGGAGCUAAUACCGGAUGAUCUUUUGAACCGCAUGGUUCAACAGUGAAAGACGGUCUUGCUGUCACUUAUAGAUGGAUCCGCGCUGCAUUAGCUAGUUGGUAAGGUAACGGCUUACCAAGGCAACGAUGCAUAGCCGACCUGAGAGGGUGAUCGGCGACACUGGAACUGAGACACGGUCCAGACUCCUACGGGAGGCAGCAGUAGGGAAUCUGCCGCAAUGGGCGAAAGCCUGACGGAGCAACGCCGCGUGAGUGAUGAAGGUCUUCGGAUCGUAAAACUCUGUUAUUAGGGAAGAACAGAUGUGUAAGUAACUGUGCACAUCUUGACGGUACCUAAUCAGAAAGCCACGGCUAACUACGUG